Molecule: long non-coding RNA, 1195 nt
Filed under: Vigna radiata
Lineage: Eukaryota; Viridiplantae; Streptophyta; Magnoliopsida; Fabales; Fabaceae
Description: long non-coding RNA (VRAD_LNC012947)
Source: RNAcentral
UUACAUCCAGAAAAUACUUCUUUGAUUUCCAAUUAGAACAAAAAUUGGUGCAGAACUUUUGCAAUUAAAGGGCUGGAACGGUGUUGUCACAGAAGCAAGUGGUGUCACGGACAUUGUUCUUAGCAGCUAGGAGAUUUGUUUAUUUUGGAAUAUGCAUUCAACGCCGCCACAUAGGACAUUGUUCUUAUCAAUUUCAUUUUCCUUGCUUUGGUUUACAAAAGAGAACCGUGCUUGCUUAUGGAAGGAAACAUAAUAAACUUUGCAUUCAAUUGCAAGCAGCUCACACGCUCAUGAGGACAAAAUGAAAACGGUGCUUACCUUGGAUGUUUAUUUUUUUUAUUAUUAAAGGCAACGUUGAUUCAAUGGAGACGCACAUGGUUUGCAUCAGGAAGGUUUCUUUAAUCCUUUUUCUUUUUUUUAUUAUUCAAAUUUGCACCGAGAUGCUUAAUAUUAUGUACUCUGGAAAUGAAUUUAGCUUGGAAGCAACAUGCUCAUUUUAUUUCAGCUUAUUGUUCACGCAUUUCUUUUAGUACUUUUUCAGUAUAAAUGUGCAAUCCAUUUUAUUCAUGCUGCAUUGGGUUUCAAGGGGUGACGCUUUGCAAUUCAAUAGUGUUAGAUGAGUUUUCAGAUUUCUCUAGUACAUUUAAACUAGUUCACACAUCUUGCUUUAGGACUGUUCAAUUUAUUGUUCCUAUGCUGUCUGUUAUGUUUGGUUUAUCGUUUCUGUUCGGUCUUCAUGCUUUGUUCAGUUAUUUUAAUGUUUUCAAUUAUGUUUGGUUGUAUUUAAUUUUCAGUUUUAUUUGAAUUUAAUUCCUGUCUCAAACACCUUCAACCCCCCCCCUUUUCGUGUCUGACCUAAUUCUCGAAUCACAAUUUGGUCCUUGAGAGACGACCUAGGAGUCACAUUCCUAGCUAUACUGCAUUUCUAAUAUGCAAUUAAAUUUGUAUGGGCCGCGACACUCAUCACGCCUCUGCCACCUCCCUAAAAUGCAGUUAAAAUUGAAUCAACGCCUAUCCAGAAAAGACGAAAUGCAAGUGUUGCACUAUCUCCAUGGUGCAAUUAAAAUGAAAAUGUCAAUCAACGUGUACGUAGUUUCCAACUAUCAAGCAACGUCACCCUCCAUUCUAGCACAGUGUGUUGUUUUCUCCCAUGAAUAAUAAUGUGUGAUAAGGGAUAUCCCCCAUGGGUGGCGGC